UACGUAGGGUGCAAGCGUUAAUCGGAAUUACUGGGCGUAAAGCGUGCGCAGGCGGUUAUGUAAGACAGGUGUGAAAUCCCCGGGCUCAACCUGGGAAUGGCAUUUGGGACUGCAAGGCUUGAGUUUGGCAGAGGAGACUGGAAUUCCUGGUGUAGCAGUGAAAUGCGUAGAUAUCAGGAGGAAUACCGAUGGCGAAGGCAGGUCUCUGGGCUAUAACUGACGCUCAUGCACGAAAGCGUGGGGAGCAAACAGG
Molecule: ribosomal RNA, 253 nt
Filed under: uncultured bacterium
Lineage: Bacteria
Description: partial 16S ribosomal RNA
Rfam family: Bacterial small subunit ribosomal RNA
Source: RNAcentral